Megalobrama amblycephala (Wuchang bream) is the source of this 573-nucleotide long non-coding RNA. RefSeq lists it as uncharacterized. NCBI's taxonomy places the organism in Eukaryota, Metazoa, Chordata, Actinopteri, Cypriniformes, Xenocyprididae. The record is from RefSeq and is a predicted model, not a curated record. The transcript has 2 exons.
AAAAACGUCAAUCUGCAGUCGGCAGUUUCUGCCUUCCGUCUUUAAUGAAGGAACGAUGUAAACAUCAGUAAAAUUCACACAUGGCUUCAAUAAGGAUUAUGGAUGUAGAUAUUUGUGUUUUUCUUCUUUAUUGGACUUUGCAUUCUAUUCAAGCAGAACAUUCUAAAGGUGUGUUCGAGCUCAUGCAGCGCCGCACAGACCGAUCGGCGGCUGACUUGAAGCAGUGCAUGCUGGUAAGAAAGUUUGUCCGACUUGAGACAGCGCCGACACCAUGUGACUGUGACGUAUGGCUUCAAAGUAUCACGAGAGCGAUUCGAGAUCAGCCGCCUGAGUCAGCCAGCGCAGUUUCUCAAGAGGAGCUGCACGAGCUGUGAUGACGACACAGCUGUUUAACGAUUGGCCGGAUUCACCGCAUGACAACGAUCACGUGUGUUCCUUGUUUAUUUUCACGCCUUCAGUUCCACGAAUGCUUACAAAUCUGUAUUUUUAUAACAGUUAAAGCUCUUUUCAUGAAGUCACGAUGUUAUUGUGUCAUGUUUAUCAAAAUAAAACUGAUAAGAAACGUAGACCCCA